GACGAACGCUGGCGGCGUGCUUAACACAUGCAAGUCGAACGGAAAGGCCCUGCUUUUGUGGGGUGCUCGUGUGGCGAACGGGUGAGUAACACGUGAGUAACCUGCCCUUGACUUUGGGAUAACUUCAGGAAACUGGGGCUAAUACCGGAUAGGAGCUCCUGCUGCAUGGUGGGGGUUGGAAAGUUUCGGCGGUUGGGGAUGGACUCGCGGCUUAUCAGCUUGUUGGUGGGGUAGUGGCUUACCAAGGCUUUGACGGGUAGCCGGCCUGAGAGGGUGACCGGCCACAUUGGGACUGAGAUGCGGCCCAGACUCCUACGGGAGGCAGCAGUGCGGAAUAUUGCAGAAUGGGCGGAAGCCUGAUGAAGAAACGCCGCGUGCGGGAUGACGGCCUUCGGGUUGUAGACCGCUUUCGCCUGUGACGAAGCGUGAGUGACGGUAAUGGGUAAAGAAGCACCGGCUAACUACGUG
RNAcentral lists this ribosomal RNA (468 nucleotides) under uncultured bacterium. RNAcentral's name for it is "partial 16S ribosomal RNA". It matches the Rfam family "Bacterial small subunit ribosomal RNA", at positions 28 to 507 of the family's 1533-position model. The record is from RNAcentral.